UUUUAAUUCAAAUUUUUUUUCGAACCAGUGCUUCAGCAUACAGAUAUAAAAACUAAAACUCGGCGUGAUGCGAGUGGAAAACAAUAAGAUCUCGGGCACCUGAACCCAAAAGUCUCGAUAAUGAUGAGGUAGAACUGGAAAGGGGUGAUGGCAAAACUGAUCCACAAGCAACGUUGGAACUUCUAAAUGAUUCUGUUACACCGGUUGGAAAACUGAAAGAGAUGAUGGGAGGUCAACGUCAUUACGUGGCGGAAAUGAUAGCGCCAAAAAAGAUUAGCCUCGAAUAAUUCCGUCUGAAACUCGUGUAACAGAUGCCGAGAAAAGUGAUGAUACAGCAAAAGCAAAAAAGGAGCAAAGAAAGGACGAGCAGCAAUGAUGACUUGAUCGGUCAAAAGUGAAGGAGAAAGCCAUGAAUGAGCCUGCACCAAAAUGGAAGAAAUCGGUGAAGUACCAGUGAAGAACCAACAGUUGUUGUUGCAAGUGAAAUGGGAACCAGAUGUCUGUUGUCGAAGACAUGGGGUUCGGCAACCUCGUUCUUUACAAGGUGAUAUCACUUCCCGGCAAACUUGCGUACGAUAUGCUUGAGAAUUUCGAUCAAAAUGGGUGCGGUGUGAAAUAGCAACAUGACACACUUCAACUCUGCGAGUAAGACGUGCAAGCAAGUUAGUUGACGAGCUUGCACGUGAUGGCCACCAGAAGUACAACAAGUUUGUUGACGAGCUUGCACGUGAUGCAAACAAAACCAACAACACCAUGGGCCCAAAAUACCUCACUUAGAAGUUGCUGAGUGAUACGACAGGAGGUGAUCUUUUCCGAAAACUGUUCAUUUUUUUGUUUGACACUAUCUUAGUGAACCCUUUAGGAGAUGGAUACUGCCAUUCACAAAUUCUUGAAGUCAUAGGGAAUGUGCGGGGCUAUAGUUGGUGCGGGUACGUGCUGGACACGCUAAUCUCUGCUUAUGAGAUGUGGGCAACAGAUACCACCAAGGCAUUCUCUGGCCCACUCUCAUUUCUUGUGGCAUGCUAUGUUGAAUAGACGUGUUGUUGCACGUGCGUUCCCCAUGGUUAAGGAAGGGACAACACAAGUCCUAAACAAAAGGCAGAAGAUGGAGCUCAAUCCUGGGCCAUUUGGUAGGGGAUGCUCAUCAUCUAAUCUUUGACCCAUGGGAGAGCGUAUCUAUUGAACAACCAAACCAAAGGUUGUGUGCAUCGAUUCUUCACCCAGGAUGAAAUCCAAGAGAACGGAUGUGCCAAAAAUAGACGGGCUAUGAUGGGUAGGUACUAUGCACAACACUGCCGACGCGACGCCAUAGCCGAGCUAAUGACAAUGAUGCAAGUCGUUUCUGAAGAUAUUAUGUUUGAUCGACAUGGAAGACUCAUCUUCAAGUUUUAUUGAGGGGAGUAAUGAUGAUAUACAGUUUCUAUAUGGUUUUAAAAGUAAGAAGAAAAGUUUUGUUGAGGGAAGUGAUGAUGAUAUAUAGAUUCUAGAUGAUUCUAAAAGUAAGAAGAGAAAAUCUGACGUUUGGAAUCACUUUACGGAGGAAAAACAGCCUAAUAAAGAUGGAAAGCUAACGGUCAAGUGCAAUCAUUGUGGUCAAGCAUAUACAUAUGAAGGUACAAAACAUGGUACUUCAACUUUUUAGUCAUCAUUUGAAGGUGUGUGAGAAAAAACCAAUGUUUGGAAAUGUGAAUUUUAUGUUACGUGAUCAUGAUGGAAAGUUGAAGGUUAGGUCUAAAGUAAUUGCCCCAAAAAUUUGUCGGGCGUGGAUGACUAAGAUAACAGUUGCACAUGAUCUUCCAUUGAAUUGGGUUGAAUUUGAAAAUGUGAGAGAUUAUCACUCGUAUUUGAACUCGGAUGUAAAAUUUAUCUCAAGAAAUACUCUUGCCUCUGAUGUGAUAAAUAUGUAUAAAAUUGAAAAGGAGAAACUGAGGAUUAGACUGAAUAGUAUUUCUUGGAUGUUGUGCUUAACUUCUGAUGUUUGGACUGCAUGCACUAAUUCGGGUUACAUUUGUUUAACUGCGCAUUAUGAGGAUGAUAAAUGGAAAUUGAAUAGCAAAAUACUUGCCUUUUGUUCUAUGCCUCCUCCGCAUUCUGGACCCGACUUAGCUCAGAAGAUUUUUGAAAUAUUGGUAGAUUGGAAGAUAGAGAAGAAAGUUUUUUCUUUAACUUUGGAUAAUGCGUCUGCCAAUAAUGACGUGGUUCAAAUUUUGAAGACAAGACUUCAAAUACAAAAUUCAUAAUUGUGCAAGGGUGAAUAUUUUCAUGUUAGAUGUUGUGCACAUAUCUUGAACCUUAUAGUUCAAGAAGGGUUAAAAGUUGCUAGUGAUGCUAUAGAAAAGAUUAGAGGAAGUGUUAAAUAUGUAAAAGCAUCGGAAGGCAUCUUGAUGAUGUUUAAGGAAUGUGCUAAAAAAUAUGGUGUUGAAUUCACUUCUUCUCUUUACUUGGAUGUGCCUACUCGUUGGAAUUCCACAUACUUGAUGCUUUGUAGUGGAAUUAAAUACCGACAUGUUUUUGAUAUGUUUCGAUUUGAAGAUUUGAAUUAUAAGCAAUGUCCAACAGAGAAAGAGUGGGAAAGGGGAGAAGUGAUGCGUAGAUUCUUAAAGCCAUUUUACAAUAUCACUACAUUGAUUUCUGGCUCAUCAUACCCUACUUCCAAUCUCUAUUUUAUGGAAAUUUGGAAGAUUGCAUCUUUAUUGAAUAGAAUGUCCGAAAGUCAAGAUGAAGUGCUCAAGUCUAUGUCUCAUAAAAUGAAACUGAAAUUUGAUAAAUAUUGGAAAGAGUAUAGUGAAAUACUGUCUGUGGGAGCAGUGCUUGAUCCGAGAAUGAAGUUGAAAGUUUUGGAGUAUUUUUAUUCCAGAAUUGAUCCUCUUUCAAGCAAAAGGAUAAAAUUCUGAAGCUGAAGAUGAAAAUGUAUACUCUUCUUUAUGAUGAGUAUAAGAAAAGGGGUGUUGGGGAAUUUUUGUUUAAAGUUCCUCAAGCUAGUAGUGGAAGUUCUAGUUCUCAAGUUAGAGAACUUGAAUUCAUGGAUAAAGAAGAAGUAAGGAGAGAAGAAAUGAAUCAUGCAUUGAAUUGGGAUGAAGACGACUUUGUUAUUUAUAAGAAUCUAAUAGGUGCAACUUAUGAAGAAAAGUCACCGCUGGAUAUUUAUUUGGAGGAAGGUCUAAUGGCUGAAAAUGUUGAGCUUGAUUUACUCAAGUAUUGGAGAGAAAAUGCAUCCCGCUUUGGAGAACUUUCUAGAAUGGCAUGUGAUGUGCUUAGCAUUCCUAUAACAACGGUAGCAUCAAAAUCUUCAUUCAGUAUUGGAGUGCAUGUUUUGAAUAAAUACAGAAAUAGGCUCCUUCCCGAAGAAGUGCAAGCUCUUAUUUGUCUACAUAAUUGGUAGCGUGGAUAUUCUAACAACUAUGAGCUCGAUGCCAAUGAUCCGGUUGAUGCUUCAAACGUUCUUGAUGGGGAAGAACGUCAUUCAAAUGCUUAGAUUUUAUUUCAAUUGUACUUCUUUGUUCAUCUGAAUUCUUAAACAUGUAAUGGGUUAAAUCAU
Long non-coding RNA from Salvia splendens (bonfire salvia), 3538 nucleotides. RefSeq lists it as uncharacterized. The record is from RefSeq and is a predicted model, not a curated record. Lineage: Eukaryota; Viridiplantae; Streptophyta; Magnoliopsida; Lamiales; Lamiaceae. The transcript is spliced from 9 exons.